Chrysemys picta bellii (western painted turtle) is the source of this 231-nucleotide non-coding RNA. NCBI's taxonomy places the organism in Eukaryota, Metazoa, Chordata, Testudines, Emydidae. The record is from RefSeq and is a predicted model, not a curated record.
AAUCCUAAAACAAAAGCGCAGAUUGAAAACCUGGUACGGAAUGGGAUGAACAAGGAGCUGCGGGAUCGCCUCUGUUGCAGGCUGACCUUUGGGACUGCUGGACUUCGUUCUGCCAUGGGAGCAGGCUUUUGCUACAUUAAUGACCUUACAGUGAUCCAGUCAACACAGACUCUGGAAAUCUGAUCUAAGCUAUCCUGUGACUGACAACUUUACAGCUACACCAAGAGGUGG